RNAcentral lists this ribosomal RNA (253 nucleotides) under uncultured bacterium. RNAcentral describes it as "partial 16S ribosomal RNA". It matches the Rfam family "Bacterial small subunit ribosomal RNA", at positions 524 to 776 of the family's 1533-position model. The record is from RNAcentral.
UACGGAGGGGGCUAGCGUUGUUCGGAAUCACUGGGCGUAAAGGGAGCGUAGGCGGGCUCUUAAGUUAGGUGUUUAAUCCCGGGGCCCAACCCCGGACAGGCACCUAAAACUGGGAGUCUUGAAUAGUGGAGAGGACGGCGGAAUUGGGGGUGUAGCGGUGAAAUGCGUAGAUAUCUGGAGGAACACCGGUGGCGAAGGCGGCAUCCUGGACCGGUAUUGACGCUGAGGCGCGAAAGCCAGGGGAGCAAACGGG